Long non-coding RNA from Hyaena hyaena (striped hyena), 960 nucleotides. RefSeq lists it as uncharacterized. The record is from RefSeq and is a predicted model, not a curated record. The transcript has 4 exons. NCBI's taxonomy places the organism in Eukaryota, Metazoa, Chordata, Mammalia, Carnivora, Hyaenidae.
AUCAACUAUGAGUUAAAGCACAGACAUCAUAGAAGACGAAAGAAUACUGUCCAGGGUCCUUUUAGGCCCACGAGGCGGCCCAGGCGCUGGUCACAAGGCACCGCGAUCACGUGCCUCCUGCCGAAGGACUAACGGUGUGAGAAACCACCCUUCGCUCCCUGCCUGGUGUCUGGGACGCUUUGUCGGGAACCUGGCCACCUGAGGACACAUGCUUUCCCGCCAUCAACAGGGCGAGAGCGCUCCUGUCCCUUUCGUCUUCCGAUGCGUCUCCUGUCGGGUGAGAGCGCCCAGCGGCCCGCAGCCUGUGCAGACGCCUCCUGUGCGGCCCUGAAAGGGGACAGCUGACCGACCAGGCCGUUGGAAACUGGGGCCCAGCCUGGACAUCGCCAUCCCCUCCAGUCUGGCCUCGUGGGUCUGGGGAGAAGACCGCAGACAAAGUGCCCUUCUCAUUACCUCACCUCAGGGGUCCGUGCUCUCAACGUGGCACCUCACCACGGAUGCGACCUUGACCACCUGGCUGAGAAUGGUACGAGGAACCACGAUGGCUCAAACCAAGAUGGUGUUGGGUGUGCCUGUUGCGACUUGGCAUCAUUGCUUCUCUGCCGUCAGAAGCAAGGAGAUGUGCAUGUGUGUGCCCUGACCCGUCUUUGCUUUUUCCAGAAUGUCCAAUAAAGGGAAGCUCACAGUGUGCAGCCCCUGCCAACUUCGUUCACGUAGCAACAGUUCGUUUGCGAUCCAUCCAGGCCUGAGUGUGUCUCGACAGUUACUCCUUAUUGCUGAGCAACAUUCCACCGCAUGAAUGUUCCAGCUUGUCUACCAGUUCACCUACUGAAGAACGUCUUGGUGACCUUUGUUGUGGAACAAUUAUGAAAACAACCUACUGUAAACAUUAGUGUGAAGGUUUUUGUGUGGACAUAAAUUUUUAACUCCUUUGGGUAAAUACCUAUGAGCACAUCUCAA